RNAcentral lists this ribosomal RNA (497 nucleotides) under uncultured bacterium. Its description in RNAcentral is "partial 16S ribosomal RNA". It matches the Rfam family "Bacterial small subunit ribosomal RNA", at positions 28 to 507 of the family's 1533-position model. The record is from RNAcentral.
GAUGAACGCUGGCGGCGUGCCUAACACAUGCAAGUCGAACGAACGGACCAUAAGCUUGUUUCUUUCUUGUUUGCGGCGGACGGGUGUGUAACACGUGUAUCACCUACCUAUAUUUCUGGGAUAAUUUCGGAAAACCGGAGCUUAUACCAGAUAAUAUUUUGAUCCGCAUGGUUCAAAAGUGAAUUACGGUCUUGCUGUCACUUCUCGAUGGUUCCGUGCUGCAUUAGCUAGUUGGUAAGGUAACGGCCUACCAAGGCAACGAUGCAUAGCCGACGUGAGAGGAUGAUCGGCGACACGGGAACUGGAACACGGUCCUGACGCCUACGGGAGGCAGCAGUAGGGAAUGUUAGGCAGUGGGCGAAAGCCUGACGCAGCAACGCCGCGUGAGUGAAGAAGGUCUUCGGAUCGUAAAGCUCUGUUAUUGGGGAAGAACAGAUGUGGAAUUAAAUGAGGAGAUAGUGACGGUAACUAAUAAAGAAGCAACGGCUAACUACGUG